AGCUUAGGGGAAAAUAGAAGAAAAAAGAAAGUUUUGGUUUUUAAACCAAUGCUAUGCUGUGAGAUGCAGUGGGGAAGGGUGAGAUGCCUGUACCUCUGAGUGGGUG
Telopea speciosissima is the source of this 106-nucleotide long non-coding RNA. RefSeq lists it as uncharacterized. The record is from RefSeq and is a predicted model, not a curated record. NCBI's taxonomy places the organism in Eukaryota, Viridiplantae, Streptophyta, Magnoliopsida, Proteales, Proteaceae. The transcript is spliced from 3 exons.